Molecule: long non-coding RNA, 400 nt
Organism: Zea mays
Lineage: Eukaryota; Viridiplantae; Streptophyta; Magnoliopsida; Poales; Poaceae
Exons: 2
Source: RefSeq, a predicted model, not a curated record
UGUACGCUAGCCUCUAGACACUUGGAUAGCACCGUGGGCGCCUCGUCGCGGACAAGAAGGGAGAUUGGUAGGCGUCGCCGUCGGGGAACUUCCCUUGUCGCCAUCGUUCUAUCCUCGGAAGAUAGACCGAGGGAUUCGCCAACGUGUGUGGAAGGUUCCGUCAACCCGGGCUCGGCGUGGGAGUCGCUGGUGGAUCGUGAAUUCCUCGCCGAACUGGGAGAAGAAUAGGUGGUCCAGGAGGAGUCGUACAAUGAAGAGUAUGAGUUGAUCUAGGUGGUGUCUCCCAGUCAGCUUUGUGGCGCCAAGGAAUAAUAUUUAGUUCACUUUAUUAUUAUCAUUUAUUUAUGUAAGACUUCCGCUAUGUAAUAAUGACAUUUAUGAUAUUUGUGACAUUUAUCUC